GGGAGGGCGCUUACCAGUUUGUCAUUAAUCAAUGGGGUGAAGACUAAACAAGUUAACCGUAGGGGAACAUGCGGUUGGAUAACCUCCUUACCUUAAAGAA
This 100-nucleotide ribosomal RNA is filed under the name Enterobacter cloacae. RNAcentral describes it as "partial 16S ribosomal RNA". Lineage: Bacteria; Pseudomonadati; Pseudomonadota; Gammaproteobacteria; Enterobacterales; Enterobacteriaceae. The record is from RNAcentral.